This is a long non-coding RNA of Hibiscus syriacus, 263 nucleotides long. RefSeq lists it as uncharacterized. Lineage: Eukaryota; Viridiplantae; Streptophyta; Magnoliopsida; Malvales; Malvaceae. The transcript has 3 exons. The record is from RefSeq and is a predicted model, not a curated record.
ACUUUCUGUGUCUCAUUUGCUUGCUACCCUCUGUGUAUUGGGUAAGUAAGAGGAAAGAUCAGCUUUUUCUUUUUUAAAUUGGGAUAUUUGUAUGUGGUAUUUGAGAGGACCCAUGGGUGCACCACCAGCUAGAGCCCGGGCUGAUUAUGAUUAUCUCAUUAAGCUUCUUUUGAUUGACGAUAGUGGAGUGGGGAAGAGUUGUCUGCUUUUGCGUUUUUCUGAUGGUUCAUUUACUACUAGUUUCAUAACGACCAUCGGGUUUG